RNAcentral lists this ribosomal RNA (279 nucleotides) under uncultured bacterium. RNAcentral describes it as "partial 16S ribosomal RNA". It matches the Rfam family "Bacterial small subunit ribosomal RNA", at positions 506 to 784 of the family's 1533-position model. The record is from RNAcentral.
UGCCAGCCGCCGCGGUAAUACGGAGGGGGUUAGCGUUGUUCGGAAUUACUGGGCGUAAAGCGCGCGUAGGCGGUUAUUUAAGUCGGAUGUGAAAGCCCCGGGCUCAACCUGGGAAUUGCAUACGAUACUGGGUAACUAGAGUACGAGAGAGGGAGGUAGAAUUCCACGUGUAGCGGUGAAAUGCGUAGAUAUGUGGAGGAAUACCAGUGGCGAAGGCGGCCUCCUGGCUCGAUACUGACGCUGAGGUGCGAAAGCGUGGGGAGCAAACAGGAUUAGAUA